This 466-nucleotide ribosomal RNA is filed under the name uncultured bacterium. Its description in RNAcentral is "partial 16S ribosomal RNA". It matches the Rfam family "Bacterial small subunit ribosomal RNA", at positions 28 to 507 of the family's 1533-position model. The record is from RNAcentral.
GAUGAACGCUGGCGGCGUGCUUAACACAUGCAAGUCGAACGGAAAGGCCCAAGCUUGCUUGGGUACUCGAGUGGCGAACGGGUGAGUAACACGUGGGUGAUCUGCCCUGCACUUCGGGAUAAGCCUGGGAAACUGGGUCUAAUACCGGAUAGGACCACAUUUUGGAUGGUGUGGUGGAAAGUUUUUCGGUGUGGGAUGAGCUCGCGGCCUAUCAGCUUGUUGGUGGGGUAAUGGCCUACCAAGGCGUCGACGGGUAGCCGGCCUGAGAGGGUGUACGGCGACAUUGGGACUGAGAUACGGCCCAGACUCCUACGGGAGGCAGCAGUGGGGAAUAUUGCACAAUGGGCGCAAGGCUGAUGCAGCGACGCCGCGGGGGGGAUGACGGCCUUCGGGUUGUAAACUCCUUUCGCUAGGGACGAAGCGUUAUGUGACGGUACCUGGAGAAGAAGCACCGGCUAACUACGUG